GGAGGGUUCGCAUAGCGGUCUAGUGCAGUCGCUUGGAAAGCGGCCGUGGGGAAACUCACCAAGAGUUCGAAUCUCUUACCCUCCGCCA
Molecule: transfer RNA, 88 nt
Filed under: Candidatus Zambryskibacteria bacterium RIFCSPHIGHO2_01_FULL_35_32
Lineage: Bacteria; Candidatus Zambryskiibacteriota
Also listed under: 1 other name
Description: tRNA-Ser
Rfam family: tRNA
About the family: Transfer RNA (tRNA) molecules are approximately 80 nucleotides in length. Their secondary structure includes four short double-helical elements and three loops (D, anti-codon, and T loops). Further hydrogen bonds mediate the characteristic L-shaped molecular structure. tRNAs have two regions of fundamental functional importance: the anti-codon, which is responsible for specific mRNA codon recognition, and the 3' end, to which the tRNAs corresponding amino acid is attached (by aminoacyl-tRNA synthetases). tRNAs cope with the degeneracy of the genetic code in two manners: having more than one tRNA (with a specific anti-codon) for a particular amino acid; and 'wobble' base-pairing, i.e. permitting non-standard base-pairing at the 3rd anti-codon position.
Source: RNAcentral